GAUUUCGUCGAUUCGGUCGCAGCAUUCAAGGCGGUUGACACUUUCAGAAAGAAAAAGAAAAGGAUUGGAGGAAAGGAUGUAAAUAAUAAUAAGUUUAGAUAUAGACCGGAGAGAUACGCCGGUCAGGAUUCGUUAAAUUAUAAAGAAGAAAAUG
This 154-nucleotide non-coding RNA is filed under the name Youcai mosaic virus. RNAcentral's name for it is "Tobamovirus internal ribosome entry site (IRES)". It matches the Rfam family "Tobamovirus internal ribosome entry site (IRES)". From Rfam's summary of the family: IRES elements allow cap and end-independent translation of mRNA in the host cell. Lineage: Riboviria; Orthornavirae; Kitrinoviricota; Alsuviricetes; Martellivirales; Virgaviridae. The record is from Rfam by way of RNAcentral.